GAAUAGGAGUGUGCAACCUUUGGUCCAUGUGGAAGGGGUGCCCUGGGCAGAGGCAGAACUCCAGAAAACAGUGUAUGGAAAACUGCCUGCUCUGAGCAGGAGGCUGAGGAAGAGAAGAGGCCAACAGAAUGAGACAGGAGAGCCCAGUACUUCCCAAAAGGAUCGAACUUGGAACCUUGUGCUUGAGAGGCUGGCGGUAGAACCGCUGAGCUAAAUCCCCAGCCCCAAUUCAUGAUUUCUAUACAAAAAGUGAACAAAAGAAUCCUCAGCUGAUUGGUAACAUCUUGGACCAGUAGUACAGGAACGCUUCACUUUAAAUGGCAGUGAAGGAGCAGGCUCAAGAAUCAGCCCACAUCUGAUUUCCAUCUUACAUGAAGCUAAAAAUAUCACACUACCUGUGAAAUGAACUUAGGACCCAUAUUGGUGGGCGGCUGUGGGCAUACUCAGAUAUGGCACUCAAAUAAUGGCGUGCACCAGAAAGAAAGGAGACAUAGCAAAAAGAGCCAAAACUAAGGCCUAGGUUGGGAGAUGUAGCAAGUUGGCCAUUUAUUAUGUGAGGGGAUGGAGGCCCAGAGAUGGAAGAGCAGAAAGCACUGAAGGGGAGCCAAGGAAGGUGAAGAGACUGCUGCCCAUCAGGUAGUUCUCCAGAAGCCGAGCAAUCCCAGGUGUCUCUGUCACACCAUCACUGCUCCUGCAGGGCUUAGCUUAUAUGAAGCAAGAUCUACUCUUCAUUAAUGUAUAGUCAAUGCUUCCUAGAGUCAGAUGGAGAAGAGUAAAAUAGAUCUGUCUAAAAGCUAGAGACCUCGAAGGAACCAACUGAGGGCCUGGAUCCCAUGGCGAUGUCUCAUGGACGUCUGUAUCAAGGAUCUUCUGGGAGAAGCCCCAAAGGCCAGUGGUGGAAGCUAAAAAGUCUGUGCUGGCGGGAUGAAGGAACUGUGCCAGAAGGCUGAGGGAUCUGCACUGGAGCCAGGCGCUGGAACCACUGAGCUAAAUCCCUAGCCCACCAUUUGCAUUUUAUUCCAGAGGUAACUAUUCUUACUUGGUCUGUGUCUCCCCUUGUGUGACUUUUGGUGUGGAAUUGUGUCCAUGUGUGGCAAACAGGUUAAUUAUCUCCUGUCCAGGGAGAAGUAGCGUAAACUGUUUUGCACUUGAUAAACUCUCUAGAUAAUCAUAUCCAAAAUCUUAGGCGGGGAGGACUGAGAAUCCAUGACUAACCCUGCAGUUAUUUGGUAAUUAAUCCUUCAGAUAUUCUUCCAGUAAAGGCGUGGACCCUGUGAAGGACAGGCACUGUGGGAGGGUGGUGAGGAAGGAUGGAACACUCCAGAGAGCCUCCUUAGCCUAAAGUGUACCUAAAGUCUGGGCAUUAAGACAAGCAAAGUGAUUAGGAAGCCAAAUGAGAAAUGCUUUCUCAGCGCUAUUUUGCCUUCAUUUACAUUUUUGGGAGGGAAUGAAGUCAGAAUUAUUUUUAAAUAAGAAAGAUGAUAAAAGAAAACCAACCCAUUAAAAGGUACAAGUUAAAUAUUCAUAAGAACCAGCCCACAUCCUUUCCAGGCAGUCUUCCAGGAGGUGGUGGGAUGUCCUCCUCCUAUGUAGGGCGGAGCUUCCAUCUCACCUAGGGUUGGGGGUAAGGCUGUCCCCCGCCCCAGUUUAAGAGGCAGCCUUCACAUCCAUGUCUCAAAUCAACCCUGCUUCACCUCUGAGCAUUGCCUACCGUGUUCAUAUUUCCUCACUUUUUGGAUCUCCUUUUCAAAGGAUUGCCACAAAUGCAGGCUUAAAUUGGUUGAACUUGUCAUUUUCUCCAAAGCAGCAAAUUCUCACCAUUUGUUUUAUUUCUGGAAGGAGGACAAAAGCAGCAAAGCUGUGUUUAAUGAUUGACACCUGGGGGUGGGUCCUUCUGAAGCAACUGGGGGAGGGAAAAGGGACUAUUAUGUUUCCCCUGGGCAUGAAUGCCACCAAGAUGAAACCAACUCCUGUGAUUCUCCCACCACAAUUAAAAGAGGUGAAAGAUGACUUUUAAAAGCUCAGUCUACCAUGGAAGAGGGUUUCAGUCACCAAAGUAGAUUCCAAGCAUGCAUAUGAAUUAAUAAAUGAUCAGAGAGCAAAGGGUAUUAAAGUAUUAUUUAAGACCUUUCUUUACUUAAUAAUGACAUAAAAGUAUCAUCUGUGAACAAUGCAAAAUGAAAAUCAGGAAUUCCUGUUCAAAAAAAUUAUUACAACUAUAAAAGCAGAUCAGUCAACCUAGAGCAUUAAAUCCUUUUGAAUUCAGGGCCUUGUUCAGGUCUCAAAUUCAUGAAAGUUUAAGACAAUUUUUAAAAUAUGUCCAAUUUGCUAGCAUUAAUUCAUCCACUAAGGAUUUAUCUUGUCCCAGGCCUGGUGGCCAAUGAAUGUAAUCUUAGCACUCAGGGGGCUGAAAAAUGAGG
RNAcentral lists this long non-coding RNA (2420 nucleotides) under Heterocephalus glaber (naked mole-rat). Its description in RNAcentral is "lncRNA (ENSHGLG00100033851.1)". Lineage: Eukaryota; Metazoa; Chordata; Mammalia; Rodentia; Bathyergidae. The record is from RNAcentral.